AGUGAACGCUGGCGGUAGGCCUAACACAUGCAAGUCGAACGGCAGCACAGUAAGAGCUUGCUCUUACGGGUGGCGAGUGGCGGACGGGUGAGGAAUACAUCGGAAUCUACUUUUUGGGGGGGGUUAAGGAGGGGAACUUACCGUAAUACCGCAUACGGCCUACGGGUUAAAGCAGGGGGACUUUCGAACUUGCCCGGAUGGAUGAGGCGAUGUCGGAUUAGCUAGUUGGCGGGGUAAAGGCCCACCAAGGCGACGAUCCGUAGCUGGUCUGAGAGGAUGAUCAGCCACACUGGAACUGAGACACGGUCCAGACUCCUACGGGAGGCAGCAGUGGGGAAUAUUGGACAAUGGGCGCAAGCCUGAUCCAGCCAUACCGCGUGGGUGAAGAAGGCCUUCGGGUUGUAAAGCCCUUUUGUUGGGAAAGAAAAGCAGCAGGUUAAUACCCCGCUGUUCUGACGGUACCCAAAGAAUAAGCACCGGCUAACUUCGUG
RNAcentral lists this ribosomal RNA (491 nucleotides) under uncultured bacterium. RNAcentral's name for it is "partial 16S ribosomal RNA". It matches the Rfam family "Bacterial small subunit ribosomal RNA", at positions 29 to 507 of the family's 1533-position model. The record is from RNAcentral.